GGCGAACGCUGGCGGCGUGCCUAAUACAUGCAAGUUGAGCGCUGAAGGUUGGUACUUGUACCAACUGGAUGAGCAGCGAACGGGUGAGUAACGCGUGGGGAAUCUGCCUUUGAGCGGGGGACAACAUUUGGAAACGAAUGCUAAUACCGCAUAAAAACUUUAAACACAAGUUUUAAGUUUGAAAGAUGCAAUUGCAUCACUCAAAGAUGAUCCCGCGUUGUAUUAGCUAGUUGGUGAGGUAAAGGCUCACCAAGGCGAUGAUACAUAGCCGACCUGAGAGGGUGAUCGGCCACAUUGGGACUGAGACACGGCCCAAACUCCUACGGGAGGCAGCAGUAGGGAAUCUUCGGCAAUGGACGAAAGUCUGACCGAGCAACGCCGCGUGAGUGAAGAAGGUUUUCGGAUCGUAAAACUCUGUUGGUAGAGAAGAACGUUGGUGAGAGUGGAAAGCUCAUCAAGUGACGGUAACUACCCAGAAAGGGACGGCUAACUACGUG
RNAcentral lists this ribosomal RNA (497 nucleotides) under uncultured bacterium. RNAcentral's name for it is "partial 16S ribosomal RNA". It matches the Rfam family "Bacterial small subunit ribosomal RNA", at positions 28 to 507 of the family's 1533-position model. The record is from RNAcentral.